ACUGGAGUUUGUAUCCUGGCUCAUAUUGAACGCUGGCGGAAUGCUUUACACAUGCAAGUCGAACGGUAGAGGGGGCAACCCCCUCGAGAGUGGCGAACGGGUGAGUAAUAUAUCGGAACGUGCCCAGUCGUGGGGGAUAACGUAGUGAAAACUUACGCUAAUACCGCAUACGAUCUAAGGAUGAAAGCGGGGGUAUCGCAAGACCUCGCGCGACUGGAGCGGCCGAUAUCAGAUUAGGUAGUUGGUAGGGUAAACGGCCUACCAAGCCAACGAUCUGUAGCUGGUCUGAGAGGACGACCAGCCAC
This 305-nucleotide ribosomal RNA is filed under the name uncultured Limnohabitans sp. RNAcentral describes it as "bacterial SSU rRNA". It matches the Rfam family "Bacterial small subunit ribosomal RNA", at positions 1 to 311 of the family's 1533-position model. The record is from RNAcentral. Lineage: Bacteria; Pseudomonadati; Pseudomonadota; Betaproteobacteria; Burkholderiales; Comamonadaceae.